This is a long non-coding RNA of Pseudopipra pipra, 6946 nucleotides long. RefSeq lists it as uncharacterized. The transcript has 15 exons. The record is from RefSeq and is a predicted model, not a curated record. Lineage: Eukaryota; Metazoa; Chordata; Aves; Passeriformes; Pipridae.
AAAUGCAGAACUUUAUAUUUUAGUUAAUUUUAUGACUUUCACAAAAAAACACAGUUUGACACCUGGCAGCUGAAGGUCUGGAACAAUAUCUUUACCACAUGGAUUUAUAACUUCUUCAAUGUUUAGAUCUUCUCUUGUAGCUGUGCUUCAGCAGUUUUUAAUGGUGUAAUCGAUGAAAGAGAUAAACUAAGUGCAGAAAAAUGCAGCAUUGAUUUUGUGAUAGACUUUAUUCUUCCCAUUCCAACAGAUUAUGUCUGCUCAUGGGUAGAGCAGGUCAAGAACUUUGUGGGAAAAUUGAUCCUAUUGGAAUGUGCUGGUUAACAGGAACAGAAAGGAGUCACGAAAAUAGGCCUGUCCUGCAAAACUUGUUUUUUCUGGCAUUUCACCCUGAUGAGCCACUUGAGCCUCCAGCAUUGCACAGGGAACCUCAGGGGUUCACAGCUUGCGUGGUGACAGCUGAGAAAGGUAAAGGGACACAUUUAACUUCACACGCAGGUAGGUCCAAGGGCCAUUUCUCAUCCAGGAAACAUCAAAACACUGCUGCCAGCCUCAAGCACGACCUCCUUAUUUCUGUUUAGUGGGAAAUAAAAAUGAUUUCAAACUGAAUUGGCACAAAAAUGAAUCUCCAAGUAUUAAAAAGUUGCUUAAAUCAGAGGCUGAGAGAUGGUUUAUCGGUUUGUUUAUAGUCCAAGCCUAUGGAGGCUGAAGGCAAACAGAGCAGGAGUUGGGCAAUGAGCUGUUGUGGCAGCAGCAGUUGGAGCUGGACUAAAAGAUUAUAAUUUUGGAGAGUUUUAAAUAUUAGGAAGUGGAGUUUGUUAUCUUUGAGAGUGAACUUUAUCUCCCUGGACAGGCAGCACUGAGCAUGAACAACUGCCUGCAGUGCCCUGGAUUUAGGGGGGGUUGCACAGCCCCAUCCUUGUGCCCCAUGAGGAAGAAAAGUCACGGCAAAACCACCCCAGUGCUGCGGAGGGCCUGGCCAGUGGGUCUGACUGGAUGUCAUCCUCACACCCUGUGGCAUGAGGGGCUCUUCCACGGCACUGUCCUUCCAUCCCACGCGGGACUUGAGGGGCACAGGGUGAGCUGGCUCUCUAAGCUGUGGAGUUAUCUCACUCUGUAUAAGAAGUUUUGCUAAUUAUGUAUGUUCAGACAGUAAGCUGAGGGUGGCUGUCACUUAUUUACUGGUUUAAAGAUGCAUUUUGGAGACCCUGAGAGAAAACUGACUGCUCUGACUAGCAGGAGCCCCACGGUCAGUAAUAGGAUUUGAAAGUCAUCCAUCUCCUCAUGAGUACUGAGUGUGCCACUGGCUCCUUCCCUCCGCUCCAGCUUCCUGGAUGUGCUCUCAGCAUGAAUAAAUGAUGGGAACAAAAAGGUGAGAAUAACAACAUCAGAAAAAAUGGAGGAGGAAAACUAACUGAGACCCAUAAGGAAGAAAAAUAAAGGAAGAGAGGAAUUAGUUUGUUCCAAAUGUUGCACCAGCGUUGUUGUGUUUUUUUGUAAAAAAACUUGCUUUUACGUAUUUCUGCAGGAUAAGGUCUCUGGGGGAGGCGAAGAUGCAGAGCCAGUGCUGUGGAAUAAUUGGAGGCAGAGAGAUGGGAUGCAGGAGACCGGGAAACACUGUCUGGAUGAUGUGCUCGGGUUAUCAGUGCAGGCGGUUCCAGUGGAGGGGGAAAAUGCGUGAGUGAAUGAAUGAAUGAAUGAAUGUCAUUUGCCAUUUGCCCUGGGGAUGAAACAUUAAAGUACAGACCAGCAGUAGAUUCCCCCAGGCAGAACCUGUCUCCUUCCCCCUCCACGUGCUCUCCUGUUUCCAGACGGGGCAGUUCUCAGUAAUGACCCUGCAGCCCCUUCUGCCUCAGUUACCUGGGCCAGGAUGGGACAUUCUGCUCUGAUUAAUGUGCCAAAUGAUUCUUGCUCUCACUACAAUGAAAUGUGACCCCUGCUUACCCUGGAACGGGACGUUUUUGUCACCUCUCCCUUCUCUCCUCUAACAGCAAUAUCUCUCUGCUACCUGCUGGAUAAUGUGGAUGUCCGUUCACAUUCCGGCUACAGUGCAAUGACUUGUGCUUGACAGAUCUCCUUGUGUCAUAGAUCAUCCAGGGUAAAAUUUACACAGCCUUGGAUUAAAAGCCAUUAGGCAGAAGACUUACAUUCCGUGUGGUUUCAGAUGUAUUUGAAGGAAUAUUGUGGAAAACAUGGAACUGAGUGGAGAGAGACUACAAAAAUGAGACUGGUUUCACCACAGUGAGCAAAUGACUUCAGACAUCCGUGGAUUGACUCACUCAGUUGGCAAAACCAGGCAAACACAGCCUGUGAUGGUUCUGCUGACAGAGAACAAUUUCAGCCCCAUCUGUUCAAGCAGCGAGAGACCUUUCUGAUCACUCCGGAAGUCAGCAAGAGAAUUUUUCUCUCAGCUUUCCAGUAGCUCUUCCUCAAAUAUGAUUAAUCUGGGCUUGAUUCUUUGGCUACUUUCCUCGCUUACUCCAUCAUGGGAUUGAAACACAUUUAUUGCAGUAUUGGGUUUUCCAGGGAAGAAAGUCCAGAAGGAGGUUUGGAAAUAGCCACAGAAAGUCCUAAUUGGGGUGGUGGGCCAGGAUUUGGCAGCAGAGCAGAACAGACAAAGCCAAAACACCUUUGAGCAACAGGUCUUUGGUCUCACCAGGAGAAGGUUGAUCUGCCCUGUAAUGGGCCACUAUGGCUGAACUCUGGAGCUUUAAUCAGGUGGUCUGGCCCUUCAAUAGCACACUUAGGGUUGGGUUUCUCUUCCUCCUCUUUUUUUCCCCUCCUCCUUUUUUUUCCCCUCCUCCUCCCUUUUUUCCCUCCUCUCUUUUCCCUCCUCUUUUUUUCCUCCUCUUUUCUUUUUGUUCUUUUCUUUCCACGUAUCAGGCCCCACACAGCCCAGUUCCCUGCACCAGUGGCUCUGCCACACAGGUCCCUUCCAGCCUCCCUCAGAGAUGGGCCCAGCCAAGGCUCCUGCUCUGCCCACGGGGUGUUAUGGGAGGACCCUGCGGUGCCAGUUGGUUGCAAUUUUCAUCAGUUCUCCUUAUCAUCGUGCUAUUAAUUGCUUUAAUGAUGCAUUCAUUUAGAUCGAAAAUAUGAUAUCAGUGAAAUUUAAUUUAAAAAAUCGAUAACUCAUUAACACAUUAUUGCUACACCUACAUGUGUCACCAUAUUAAUCUCCUGUGUUGGAAAAGCAGUUGGCUUCAGCUCUGUGUCCAUAGAUCUUUGUUAGAAGGGAGUUGUUGGUAGGAUAAUCGUGAAAGGAGAGUUAUUGAGGCACCACUUUCUUCCGAGACUGUGGCCCCAGUACAUAUGGAUUCUUCUCUUUGGGCCAGGCAAGGCUGAAGAGUACCCAGUCCGUGGGAAAUAAUCAGCCAUGAAACUUUUAACUAGCAUCCACAGUUCUGGGACACAGCCCAGGAAUUCCAUCAGUAAAGCAGCACACCUGGAUAUUAGUCCUGUUCCUGCUGUUGUAUCUCAAUAACCAACAUCGGCUUCGGCUCAAUGUCUGCCUGAUUCUGCUCUGGCACCAAGGGACCGACUGAGAUGUGUCAGAUGGUGUGACUGAAGCGGGACAGAUGGGAGAAGGAGCAACAGUGACUACUGGAAACCAUCCAAAUGCUUAAAUGAGAAGUGAGCUGGAGAAAGAACGUUUCUGAAAAUGCAUUUAUUCCUUGGUGACUGUCCAGCUCCAGUCCUACUACGACCAAUGCCACAGGUGGCCUCUCCAGGUGUCUCCUCCAUCCCCUUAGAGCUCUCUUCUAAAGAACCAGUGUGUUAUGGACAAGAUACAACACAAGUUUUCAAACCAAAACACCUAUUUGGAAGAUGACAGUUAAAAAUCCAUUUGUAAUGAAAAGGACUGAUUUAAGAUUCCCGUGGGAAAGGAGAAAUUCAGCUUGAAUUCUAAUUUCAGUGGAUAAGCACAAGGACCUACUUCUGCACAUACUGAACUUGAGCCAGGCCCCGGCUGUGCAGGGGGAGAGCACUCCAGUAAAUCUUUAAGUCAUUCCAGGUCAGGAUGGAGAACACUGAGCACCUGAGAAAAGUGGGAGCUGAUGCCAGUGCCCAGUGCUUCCUAAUGCCCUGCCUACUUCUCUGGCAGCUGCCCCAGCUUUCCUCCAGGGACCUUCUUCCUUCUUCGUGGUUACCGAAUUCAGUUCAACAGCUCAGAUGUCAUCAGCUGAGAAGAGGGAAGGGAAAACUCAAAGUCCACAAAGGGCAAAAAGAAGUAUAAAAGGUUCAGUGGGCUGAGUGGCCCCAUGGGCAGUGCCUGCGUCUGCUUGGCUGUCCCAGGACAUGAAGGAUGUUGUCACUGCAGGAUUUGGAUAGAAUUCCUCUGGAAUGCUUUGUACAGGAAUGCCCUCUGUGCCUGGAGAAGUCCAUCGUGCAUCAACGGAGAGCUGCUGAGUGCUGGGGCAGAGGAGAUGACGAUGUGCUGCUGAGGGUGAACGGAUCCAGGCGUGCAGGUGACACCAUUACCCCCCAUCAGCAUUGACCCCAGAGUUUCUGCAUUUCAGUUACAGUAUUUAAAGUUGAAAUUGCUUUUGUGAUGAGCACAGUAUCCCAAGAGAAGGCAGCAGGACAACAGGCAGCGUUUCUUCCCUUGCGCCAAGAACCCAAAUGAGAAAGCAGGUGCUGCCACAGCGGCUGCGCAGGGAGGGUGAGCAGCAGUUGGCAAAGCACAGAUUCCUCAGAAGCAGAAUAAAAAAUCACAGGCAUCCAAAAUGCCACUGGGAAAAGCUGGAAAAGCACUGUUUUCUUUAAGAACAAGACAAUUUUACCACUGGGUUUUCCAAUAACUCGUGUGUUGGGCUGUUGUUCCUUGUUGUUCCUCUCAGAAAGGACAAGCUGCUGCCUGGCACUAUCUGCUCAGGCACAGGGACAUUAUCUUGCCUUGCAGCCUUUAUGGCAUUUUCCUGGAGCAGAUUAAUUAACAAGGGCUAGUUCCUCCCUGUUAUUUACAUAUAUAACAAGUUUGUUUCCUCUCUGCAUUCUUUGUCCCAAAUUUAACCAUGUGUGGUUGUAGGCUAGUGGCUGGCAGUGGUGUCCAGAGCCAUGACCAGGUGGUGGGAAGGGCCAGAAAUAACCAAAUGGUGGGUAAUUCAGUACAAAAUCAUUUUCUCGUGGUCAACAUGCCAUUAAGUUCUUAAGUUUAAAGUGCUUGGAAAAACUGCAAUAAACUCAGUUAAAAUGAUGGUUAUCUCACUAGAAAGUUAUUAGCUAUUGUUUCCCCCCACCCCGGGUUGAUUUUAUCAAAAAAGUUUUAUGCUUUCAUAAACUGGGAUUGUUCUUAUACCUCACAAGAACUAGAAAUGUUUUUUGGUUGAUUUUCAUCGUUAUUUAGGUCAAGACUUUCAGUCAAGCACAACUGUUGUGAAGCCCAGGGUGUGACUUGGGAUUAACCCUUUUCCUCCUCAACUCACAGUAGCUGCUGUUCCCACCCCAGGAGCCCUCGGCCAGCCUGGACCUGCUCCAGAAGCAUGGAAACCAGUUCAGCCAGACAUUGCUGCAAGGCAGUCCAGAAAUAUCCCAUGGACAGAAGGGAUAAGGGCAAGGUUACUAUUUGGAGAGUUUGGACUUCUUCCCAUCUGUUGCCAAGCAGCUUUGAGCAACCCCUCGCAGGACCCACGUUUUGAUACCCCGUGGUUUCAGACUGUGCCUCAGUGCUCAAGGGACCAGGCAAGGAAAGGAACACAGAAAGGGAGGCUGUUUGGUGGUCCCUCGCUCCCCCAUAAGAAACAUCCAGCAGUCCAGUAGAAAUACAAAGUAAUGACGACAGAAGAACUGGAAAUCUCUUCAAAGGCAAACUCGUAUCUUGAGAAACAUGAGGAAAAAUGUUACAAAGGAAAUAUGAAAGGCUCAAGAAGGAUUUUCUGAGGCACUUUGUUACCGAAGUUGUUACCACCCCCCCGCAGAGACAAUCAAGACUAAUGGGGACAUUAGCACAGCCCAGGACUACACAUCAAAAGAGUCCCUGGAGCAAAUAACACCCAGUAACUGGAGCAUCGCUGGCACCGCGCUCCGAACCACCCCCCUCUGCCUCAGAAAUGAGUAAAAGGGUCGUAAACAGCAGAGAGAAAAUUUUUGCCUGGUGACUGCAAAUAAGCACCCAGCAGAGCUGUUAAAAGUUGCUUGCUGAAGAGAAAAAUAUGAUUCUUCCAGUUUUAUGGGCCAUGUUCAGAUAGCUCUUACUCCUGCGCCAUAAAUCCAAUUUUCACAUAGAUUAAAUGGAAAGGCAGCAGAGGCUCUGCUGAAUAAUGCACAGAUUGUCAUGGACGUGCGGCGUGAGGUGCCCAAAUCGAUCCUCCCCCACGCUCAUGCGUGGCUCCAGCAAUGCUGCAGUGCUCCCACCUUGGUGCCUGACUUCAGUGAUACCUCUGAACACGAGGAGUACUACUGGUAUCCUCACAGACCGUCACCUGUGGUCCUCCUGGGAUCAUUUAUCUAAAUUUUAAAACUUAAAAAAAAAAAUUAUGAUAGAGUUUAAGCUAAGAAGAGGUGGCUUGCGGAAUACUCGAUUGCUCUAGAAGGAUGCUCAGAGGAGCUGCAUCGGGGUACGGCCACGGCGGUGCCCAAGGGAGGAGGAAGGCAGAUAAAUGCAGCUCAAGUGUGGCAUUUGUCAUCCAUUUAGUGCGUCUGCACCGCUGGCAGCAGCUCUCAGUGUGCUGUGGUGGAGUCACCAUCCCUGGAAGUGUUCAGAAAAGGAGUAGACGUGGCACUUGGUGAUGUGAUUUGACUGACAAGGUGGAGAUUGGUCAAAGGUUGGGCAUAAUGAUCUUGGAACUCUUUUCCAACCUCAGCGAUUCUGGGAUUCUAUGCUUGAGAUUAGCUGUUGUGAGAAGCUGAAGCUGCUCCCUGGAGCAGUGGCUGCACCCGUGGGAAACUGCUGGUAUCACAAAAAGUGUUUUUUCCAGGUGUGGCAUUAAACACUGGUUCCCUUCUCCUAAAA